UGCGUGCCACGAAAGAGCCCAGGACC
RNAcentral lists this non-coding RNA (26 nucleotides) under Homo sapiens (human). Lineage: Eukaryota; Metazoa; Chordata; Mammalia; Primates; Hominidae. The record is from RNAcentral.